CUUAACACAUGCAAGUCGAACGRUGAAGUAGGAGCUUGCUCUUGUGGAUCAGUGGCGAACGGGUGAGUAACACGUGAGCAACCUGCCCCUGACUCUGGGAUAAGCGCUGGAAACGGCGUCUAAUACUGGAUAUGUGACGUGACCGCAUGGUCUGCGUUUGGAAAGAUUUUUCGGUUGGGGAUGGGCUCGCGGCCUAUCAGCUUGUUGGUGAGGUAAUGGCUCACYAAGGCGUCGACGGGUAGCCGGCCUGAGAGGGUGACSGGCCACACUGGGACUGAGACACGGCCCAGACUCCUACGGGAGGCAGCAGUGGGGAAUAUUGCACAAUGGGCGAAAGCUGAUGCAGCAACGCCGCGUGAGGGAUGACGGCCUUCGGGUUGUAAACCUCUUUUAGCAGGGAAGAAGCGAAAGUGAGGGUACCUGCAGAAAAAGCGCCGGCUAACUACGUGCCAGCAGCCGCGGUAAUACGUAGGGCGCAAGCGUUAUCCGGAAUUAUUGGGCGUAAAGAGCUCGUAGGCGGUUUGUCGCGUCUGCUGUGAAAUCCCGAGGCUCAACCUCGGGCCUGCAGUGGGUACGGGCAGACUAGAGUGCGGUAGGGGAGAUUGGAAUUCCUGGUGUAGCGGUGGAAUGCGCAGAUAUCAGGAGGAACACCGAUGGCGAAGGCAGAUCUCUGGGCCGUAACUGACGCUGAGGAGCGAAAGGGUGGGGAGCAAACAGGCUUAGAUACCCUGGUAGUCCACCCCGUAAACGUUGGGAACUAGUUGUGGGGUCCAUUCCACGGAUUCCGUGACGCAGCUAACGCAUUAAGUUCCCCGCCUGGGGAGUASGGSCGCAAGGCUAAAACUCAAAGGAAUUGACGGGGACCGCACAAGCGGCGGAGCAUGCGGAUUAAUUCGAUGCAACGCGAAGAACCUUACCAAGGCUUGACAUAUACGAGAACGGGCCAGAAAUGGUCAACUCUUUGGACACUCGUAAACAGGUGGUGCAUGGUUGUCGUCAGCUCGUGUCGUGAGAUGUUGGGUUAAGUCCCGCAACGAGCGCAACCCUCGUUCUAUGUUGCCAGCACGUAAUGGUGGGAACUCAUGGGAUACUGCCGGGGUCAACUCGGAGGAAGGUGGGGAUGA
This 1124-nucleotide ribosomal RNA is filed under the name endocytic bacterium Noc1. Its description in RNAcentral is "bacterial SSU rRNA". It matches the Rfam family "Bacterial small subunit ribosomal RNA", at positions 47 to 1182 of the family's 1533-position model. The record is from RNAcentral. Lineage: Bacteria; Bacillati; Actinomycetota; Actinomycetes; Micrococcales; Microbacteriaceae.